This is a long non-coding RNA of Dermacentor silvarum, 2974 nucleotides long. RefSeq lists it as uncharacterized. The record is from RefSeq and is a predicted model, not a curated record. The transcript is spliced from 3 exons. Lineage: Eukaryota; Metazoa; Arthropoda; Arachnida; Ixodida; Ixodidae.
GAGGCUGUGACCGCUUUUCGACUCUGUCACUCGUCUGAACUUGUGCGGUGGUUCGUGCCGCGCGCGCUUUGUUGGAAGCAUUUUUCUUUUGUUUUUGGACAUCAUGACGCAAGUUUUAGUGAAAUUGCUCUAUGAUGAUAAGUGGGAUGUUUAUCCGUUGAAGACGUUUGCUGACGCAGCUACUGGUCUUCGGGUGAUGUUCGAGCCUGGCAGUUUUGAUGAGUUGCGCGGCAGAAUUCAUGAUGGAAGGAAGGCGAACAAAGCCGCAGUCUGACUUCUGCACACAGGUUACACAUGCACCAAAUGCCCAGGUGCUAACGUGUCGUUCGUCAAGAACAGCUUGGCGUCGUUUCUCGCAAGAGACAUCCAUUGAUCUGCGGCUGAUUCACCAGGAAGCUCGCAUCUCUGUUGCCACUCUGCGUCAAGUGGGAUUUUUAACUAUUUUUAUUCUGCCCUGUGGUGUACGCUGUGACGCUGUGAAGACUUACUUUCAUGGACGCUGUGAAGGCUUACUUUCGAUGUGUUCUGCCUUUUAGUUGUAAAGAAUUGGCUACCUUGUGAGUGGAGGUAGUUCCUUUUUCUUGUGAGAAUGUUUAUCAGCCUAACCAAGUGGUACAUGCGUACUUGAAACAGCAGCACAGACGAGGAUAAUGAAAUAAGUAGGAACACAUACAAGCGCCGACUCAACUAGAAGUUUAUUCUUGAAGACAGGUUGUAAACACAUUGGAACUUGACAAAGAUAAGAAACCAUGUAUGCGUGGCCUUUGUGAUUAAACAAAAUUGUGUUUUCUGCUGUAAGGGGUAGAACGAACAAUUGUUUCAUCACAAAGACCAGAACACAAGAGAAAUUAUGGAAGCCUUAUUUAUUGAUUGCAAAGAAGACAAAUGCAUAAGCUAUCUGUUGCUCUUAAUGGGAAAGAGUUGGGAUUUUUAAAAGAGCUCUCCUUGUUUGGUGGUAUCACUUAUAGGACAUCUUUCACUGUUUUUUUUACCUGCAUAUUUAUACUACAAAACACGUCUUUCGUUCCUUUUUUUUUGUUGCACCGGGCUGUCUGCCACGCAUGCAUGGCUAUUUCUUUGUCAAGUUGGCCAGUGUGCUUAAUAUCUUUGUCGUCACGAACAAACUUCUAGUUGAGUCAGCAUUAUUGUGUGUUCCUACCUUAUUUCACCGUUCUCAUCUUUGUUUGAGCUGUUUGUAAAGUAUGUACACACACCAAAUUACCAAAGUAUCCGUAAAAUUGAGAUACAUGAAGUUAUUUGCACUAUUCAUUUCUGCAAGAAUGGUAUAGCUUCUCAUCUCGUUUGUUCUUAACGUUGUUGUACAGUUUUUGUAAUAUAUAGCUUGGAAAGACGUUUUCUGUCAGAUUAAAUAUGCAUGUAUGUCACUUUCGAUAUUUUUUUUCAACAUGGGUAGUGCAGCUCCUUCCGUCUUUCAGUUACUGCUUUGUCGCAACUUUUAUAUAUUUUAUGCAGCGAAAUGCUGGUGGAAUUAUAUAUAUUUAUGUGCGCAAGUGUGGUAAAUGGUGUUUUGUAUGUGCAUUUAUUUGCGUUUUUUACUAGCUCUCCAAUCUGGCUGUACAGUUAUUGAAACCUUUUCUCAUGCUUUAUAAUGAGUCGUUCUAGGCUCUUUGAUGAUGCAGGUGACCAUUUAUUUCACUGUUGGGAAUUGCGUUAGCUGUGUGUCACUCCAGUUGUCUGUGUAUUUUAUGUCACUUCAUUAUAUCAUUGAAAGUAUUAGCCUUGCAUUAGCUUUUUAUUGACCGAGGUACCAGUCAGUUGCUGUGUAGGGUGAAAAAGGCCCAAAGAAAUGAUUUCAUUAGCUUUGUUCAAGUCCAGAAAAAAAUUCACUGAUGAGCUCACUAAAUUAGAAAAUGCCACCAGGAAACUCUUCCGCACCCAAAAGUAACACAAGAAAUUAAAUACUGUUCACACUCGAGAGGGAAACAGCGCGAAAAAACUCGACAAGAAGGGAGACACACACCAGCGCUUCUUGUCCCUUCUUGUCUUGUGUUUUUUUGCGCUGUUUCCCUCUCGAGUAUGCACCGACUAGCCCAAGCCUCUACUGUCUUGAAAUACUGUGCAGUUCUUGACUUAUGCCAGGGAGGUAAGCUGCUUUUACAGCACAAAUGUUUUAGAAGUUUACCUCUGAAAAACACGAUUCAGGUGUUUUGUAUAUAUAUACAUGAAGUCAUUUGUUUCCAGUUUACUUGUUAUUUUGCCUACUCACAGGCAGCCGUAAACCCUUCUGUGAGUGUUUACUGGGUGUGUGAAGCAUUUUACUGUAAGGUAUCCAGUGGUCUUCAUUUUUGUAUUUAUGCAUGCAAGCCAAGAGUUCAUGUGUUCAAAGUUAGUUACAAGGGUAUGCUUAAGGUCUGCCUUUGAGUCACUUGACUGUUGUUUUUACAAAAUAUUUUUUUCUGCUGUAAUUGUGAAAUAUAAUUCUUUCUGCUGUAAUAAACUUCAAGUUGAGUGAGCAUUCGUGUGUAUUCUUAUCUUAAUUCAGCGUUCGCAUCUCUGUUUGAGCUGCUGUUUGUCAAGUCUGUACAUACACCAAAUUGCCAAAGUGCUCGUAAAAUUGUGACACAUAAGGCUAUUUGCAUUGUUUAUUCCUGCAAGAAGGCUAUAGGUUUCCAUCUUCCGUUUGUUUUUAACAUUGCUGUACAUCUUUGUAGGUCAAGUUCAAGGAGUCCCUUAGCCAAUAAGAGUGAUAACUUUGUAAAAUUUAUCAAUUUCAUCCAUCAUCAUCAUAGUUUUAAACCCACUAAGUUCUACUUUUCAGUUAUCAUGACUCUGCUUUGUGCUGUGCUGUACAGGCACAGGAAGCUUUUUUUAUGCUUUAAGUGCAGGUGGUGUUGUAUUUCUUCCAGAAAACAUUGUUGCGAGUUUAACUAGGCAUGUGUACGCUUUUGUUACAUUUUUUCAGCAUGUGUGCUAUAGUUCUGCUCCCUUACACUUAAUAGCACUGUAGGCACUA